UACGGAGGGUGCAAACGUUGCUCGGAAUCAUUGGGCGUAAAGCGCACGUAGGCGGUUCGGUAAGUCGGAUGUGAAAUCCCUCGGCUUAACCGAGGAAGUGCAUCCGAAACUGCCGAGCUUGAGUACGGAAGAGGGUCUCGGAAUUCCCGGUGUAGAGGUGAAAUUCGUAGAUAUCGGGAGGAACACCAGUGGCGAAGGCGGAGACCUGGGCCGAUACUGACGCUGAGGUGCGAAAGCGUGGGGAGCAAACAGG
Molecule: ribosomal RNA, 253 nt
Filed under: uncultured bacterium
Lineage: Bacteria
Description: partial 16S ribosomal RNA
Rfam family: Bacterial small subunit ribosomal RNA
Source: RNAcentral